RNAcentral lists this ribosomal RNA (485 nucleotides) under uncultured bacterium. RNAcentral's name for it is "partial 16S ribosomal RNA". It matches the Rfam family "Bacterial small subunit ribosomal RNA", at positions 28 to 522 of the family's 1533-position model. The record is from RNAcentral.
GACGAACGCUGGCGGCGUGCUUAACACAUGCAAGUCGAACGGUGAAGGACGGAGCUUGCUCUGUCUGGAUCAGUGGCGAACGGGUGAGUAACACGUGAGUAACCUGCCCCAGACUCUGGAAUAAGCGCUGGAAACGGCGUCUAAUACCGGAUACGAGACGGAGAGGCAUCUCUACCGUCUGGAAAGUUUUUCGGUCUGGGAUGGACUCGCGGCCUAUCAGCUUGUUGGUGAGGUAAUGGCUCACCAAGGCAACGACGGGUAGCCGGCCUGAGAGGGCGACCGGCCACACUGGGACUGAGACACGGCCCAGACUCCUACGGGAGGCAGCAGUGGGGAAUAUUGCACAAUGGGCGAAAGCCUGAUGCAGCGACGCCGCGUGAGGGAUGACGGCCUUCGGGUUGUAAACCUCUUUCAGCAGAGAAGAAGCGAAAGUGACGGUACCUGCAGAAGAAGCACCGGCUAACUACGUGCCAGCCGCCGCGUAA